ACCUGGUUAUAUCCUGAGACAUUACCUGGUUAUAACCUGGUUAUAACCUGAGACAUUACCUGGUUAUAACCUGGUUAUAACCUGGUUAUAUCCUGAGACAUUAC
Xyrichtys novacula (pearly razorfish) is the source of this 104-nucleotide non-coding RNA. The record is from the annotation of a GenBank genome assembly. NCBI's taxonomy places the organism in Eukaryota, Metazoa, Chordata, Actinopteri, Labriformes, Labridae.